UACGUAGGGGGCAAGCGUUGUCCGGAUUCAUUGGGCGUAAAGAGCGUGUAGGCGGCCAGGUAGGUCGGUUGUGAAAACUGGAGGCUCAACCUUCAGAGGUCGACCGAAACCAUCUGGCUAGAGUCCGGGAGAGGAGAGUGGAAUUCCUGGUGUAGCGGUGAAAUGCGCAGAUAUCAGGAAGAACACCCGUGGCGAAAGCGGCUCUCUGGAACGGUACUGACGCUGAUACGCGAAAGCGUGGGGAGCAAACCGG
RNAcentral lists this ribosomal RNA (253 nucleotides) under uncultured bacterium. RNAcentral describes it as "partial 16S ribosomal RNA". It matches the Rfam family "Bacterial small subunit ribosomal RNA", at positions 524 to 776 of the family's 1533-position model. The record is from RNAcentral.